CCUACGGGAGGCAGCAGUGAGGAAUAUUGGUCAAUGGCCGAGAGGCUGAACCAGCCAAGUCGCGUGAGGGAAGACGGCCCUACGGGUUGUAAGCUGCUUUUAUACGGGAAUAACGCGCCUUACGUGUAGGGCUUUGCAUGUACCGUAUGAAUAAGGACCGGCUAAUUCCGUGCCAGCAGCCGCGGUAAUACGGAAGGUCCGGGCGUUAUCCGGAUUUAUUGGGUUGAAAGGGAGCGUAGGCCGCAUGUCAAGCGUGCUGUGAAAUGUCCGGGCUCAACCCGGGCCUUGCAGCGCGAACUGGCGUGCUUGAGUCCGCGGAAAGCAGGCGGAAUUCGUCGUGUAGCGGUGAAAUGCUUAGAUAUGACGAAGAACCCCGAUUGCGAAGGCAGCUUGCUGCAGCGGAACUGACGCUGAUGCUCGAAAGCGCGGGUAUCGAACAGGAUUAGAUACCCCUGUAGUC
RNAcentral lists this ribosomal RNA (460 nucleotides) under uncultured bacterium. RNAcentral describes it as "partial 16S ribosomal RNA". It matches the Rfam family "Bacterial small subunit ribosomal RNA", at positions 338 to 795 of the family's 1533-position model. The record is from RNAcentral.